GCUGAGCUCUAUGGAUCCAUCUGGAUGAAAAAGGAGCUUAUAUUUGUCAGCUUUGCAAGUGGGGUUCAGUUUCGGGGAAGGGGUGAGAGAGAAGAAAGGAAGAAACUGAUGAAGGGAAUGAAAGAGGAAAAGACCUGCCUGAGACCUGGAUCUUAGAAACAAACCUUUCCUAACAACAGACCUCCGAGCAUAAAAAGAGUAUUUUCAAACAACUCAAAAAAUCAGUCUAAAUCAACGAUAUUCAAAAGGACAAAGAAAAAAUAAUAGGGGAUUAUGUCCUUUUCUCAUCUGUCUUAUGUUCUGAAGUUAUUCAUUUGACACCUUCUGCUCCUUUACGAUGGCAGGCCUGUUUUCCAAAGAUGCCCGUUCCAGCCAUCUAUUGCUAUGUAACAAAUGAUGACGACGUAUGAUGGUUUAAAAUCACAACUAUUUUAUUUCAUCUCUCAAAAUUGUGGGUCAGAGUUCAGGCUUGGUGAAGUGAUUCAUCUGCUCCAUAUGGCUUGAACAGUGGUCUCAGGGUGGUAUUCAGCUGGUGAGUUGGCUGGUUUCAAGGGUCUAAGUGAAGUUUAGAGGCUUCACUCACAUGUCUGCACCUUGGCAGGGAUGGCUUCAAAGGUGGGGUCCAUUGGGACU
RNAcentral lists this small RNA (633 nucleotides) under Pongo abelii (Sumatran orangutan). RNAcentral's name for it is "processed transcript". Lineage: Eukaryota; Metazoa; Chordata; Mammalia; Primates; Hominidae. The record is from RNAcentral.